RNAcentral lists this ribosomal RNA (502 nucleotides) under uncultured bacterium. RNAcentral describes it as "partial 16S ribosomal RNA". It matches the Rfam family "Bacterial small subunit ribosomal RNA", at positions 28 to 507 of the family's 1533-position model. The record is from RNAcentral.
GACGAACGCUGGCGGCGUGCCUAAUACAUGCAAGUCGAACGAACCGCGACUGAGUGCUUGCACUUGGUCAAGGUGAGUGGCGAACGGGUGAGUAACACGUGGGUAACCUACCUCAUAGUGGGGGAUAACAGUCGGAAACGACUGCUAAUACCGCAUAGGACAUAGGAUCACAUGAUCCAGUGAGGAAAGGUGGCGCAAGCUAUCGCUAAGGGAUGGACCCGCGUUGCAUUAGCUAGUUGGUAGGGUAAAGGCCUACCAAGGCGAUGAUGCAUAGCCGACCUGAGAGGGUGAUCGGCCACAUUGGGACUGAGACACGGCCCAAACUCCUACGGGAGGCAGCAGUAGGGAAUCUUCCGCAAUGGACGCAAGUCUGACGGAGCAACGCCGCGUGAGUGAAGAAGGUCUUCGGAUCGUAAAGCUCUGUUGUUAGAGAAGAACAGCGCAUAGAGUAACUGCUAUGCGUGUGACGGUAUCUAACCAGAAAGCCACGGCUAACUACGUG